This 814-nucleotide long non-coding RNA is filed under the name Anser brachyrhynchus (Pink-footed goose). RNAcentral's name for it is "lncRNA (ENSABRG00000001751.1)". Lineage: Eukaryota; Metazoa; Chordata; Aves; Anseriformes; Anatidae. The record is from RNAcentral.
AUGUGCAAUGCAAACAUCAGAGCACAUGCUCGGUUUUGCUCUGUAACAACGCCAACAUCACAGAGGAGCGUAACCAUGCAAAAUCUUUAUUUGGAGAAUGUCUCCUGUGGGACAGCAGCACCCCUCCAGUUUACAUCUCCAUUCUUUACUGGGACUGUGCAGAAGGAUAGAAGUUUAAACUCCAUGGUCAACACCUUAUCAUCCCAUCUGACCGCCUGUCAUCCAGCCCCACCAUCCCCAGCUGCAGCAGCACAAGCUGGAUACCCAACUCCUAACAACGUGCUUUUUGAGGAACUAGCUCUGCUCUUCCUCCUGGAAAUAAACACACACACAGAGUUCUUCACUGCUGCUCUGCAGUCACACCACUGUGCUGCAGGAGACCCUAGGAACAGGCUCCACAUCCUCCUCCUCCUCCUCGGCAUCCACUCAGCCCUGAGCUCCUGCCCUUGCCAUUGCCAGUGACAGCUGUUGCCAUGACAGCUUUAUUGAAACAGGCACUGAAAGUCACCAUUAACUAUCUUUUAACUACAUCCGGAGCAGAAGGAGCUUUCUGAUGACUAUUUGCAACUGGCAAAAGGCUUCUGGAAAGGUGUUCAUCUAUGGUAUCAUCCCCAAGGCCCAUUCAGAUAGGUGAUAUGGCACAGGUGCCAUAGAAACACUAAGCCAUAGUCACUCCUACGUCAUAGUAGGAAAUAUCUAGUGUGGUUAGACUAACACACCAUGUUUAAAGCAGUACUAACUCUAGUCUUUCAUCCAUUGGUCAGUCACGUUACUGCAAAAUAAAGCUUAUUAAUGUUUUAGGUUUUAAUUUCUU